This 718-nucleotide ribosomal RNA is filed under the name uncultured Cytophaga sp. RNAcentral describes it as "bacterial SSU rRNA". It matches the Rfam family "Bacterial small subunit ribosomal RNA", at positions 139 to 858 of the family's 1533-position model. Lineage: Bacteria; Pseudomonadati; Bacteroidota; Cytophagia; Cytophagales; Cytophagaceae. The record is from RNAcentral.
GGGGAUAGCCCGGAGAAAUUCGGAUUAAUACCCCAUAAUGAUAUCGGAAGGCAUCUUUUGAUAUUUAAAGUUUCGACGGUACGGGAUGGGCAUGCGUGACAUUAGCUAGUUGGUAGGGUAACGGCCUACCAAGGCUACGAUGUCUAGGGGUCCUGAGAGGGUGAUCCCCCACACUGGUACUGAGACACGGACCAGACUCCUACGGGAGGCAGCAGUGAGGAAUAUUGGUCAAUGGGCGUAAGCCUGAACCAGCCAUCCCGCGUGCAGGAAGAAGGCGCUAUGCGUCGUAAACUGCUUUUCCAGGGGAAGAAAACCCGAUACGUGUAUCGGCUUGCCGGUACCCUGGGAAUAAGCAUCGGCUAACUCCGUGCCAGCAGCCGCGGUAAUACGGAGGAUGCGAGCGUUAUCCGGAUUUAUUGGGUUUAAAGGGUGCGUAGGCGGAUUAAUAAGUCAGUGGUGAAAACCUUCAGCUUAACUGGAGACUUGCCAUUGAUACUGUUAGUCUUGAGUACGGUCAAGGUAGGCGGAAUGUGUAAUGUAGCGGUGAAAUGCUUAGAUAUUACACAGAACACCGAUUGCGAAGGCAGCUUACUGGGCCAUUACUGACGCUGAUGCACGAAAGCGUGGGGAGCGAACAGGAUUAGAUACCCUGGUAGUCCACGCCGUAAACGAUGAUCACUCGCUGUUAGCGAUACACAGUUAGCGGCUAAGCAAAAGC